RNAcentral lists this transfer RNA (74 nucleotides) under Entomospira nematocerorum. It matches the Rfam family "tRNA". From Rfam's summary of the family: Transfer RNA (tRNA) molecules are approximately 80 nucleotides in length. Their secondary structure includes four short double-helical elements and three loops (D, anti-codon, and T loops). Lineage: Bacteria; Pseudomonadati; Spirochaetota; Spirochaetia; Spirochaetales; Spirochaetaceae. The record is from Rfam by way of RNAcentral. RNAcentral also lists the same sequence under 1 other name.
GGGUCUGUAGCUCAGUUGGUUAGAGCAGCGGACUCAUAAUCCGUUGGUCCUGGGUUCAAGUCCCAGCAGACCUA